Long non-coding RNA from Styela clava, 1917 nucleotides. RefSeq lists it as uncharacterized. Lineage: Eukaryota; Metazoa; Chordata; Ascidiacea; Stolidobranchia; Styelidae. The record is from RefSeq and is a predicted model, not a curated record.
UUUUUUGUUGUAUAUAAAAAUAUCAAAGUUCUUAUUCCUCUAAUAUGUGAGGUAAUAUUUUGCUCUUGACCCGGUGUUAUGAGUUAAAAUGUUAAUUGGUGUUGUUAAUCCCAUUGACGUCAGAAAAAAUUAAUCUUAAUUUAGAUUGGAUAUAUAUCAAUUACUUGUGUUGAGAUUUUUCUGAUUAUUUUGGCUAUUUCUGCUCAAAAUUGUUUAUAUACAUACACACUGGUGUUUACUUUUAAUUUCAUCAUCAACGAAUCUAAAUUGGGAAUGUUUUAAAAUAUUCCAUCAGCUCUUAAACACAUGCUAUGUAUGAAGUAAUCCAUAUGUUUCAAUUAGAAAAAAUCUCCUGUCAAAACAUGGUUUUUAAAUGAUGAGGGUCGGAUUGUAUCUUUGUUUCUGAAACAUCUGGUUAAGCAUGUUUUUCAUUGAAAAGUUUCAAACGUCAUUCGGCUAAUUCUGUGGUAAAAGAUGAUCUCUGACGCAGUCACCGAAUCUUUUUGUGUUUGUAGCGAAAUGACGUUUGCUUCACCCACUCUGAGGUUUUUAUGCUUCGGUAAUUCAAUAUCUUAAUCUCUAGUGAUGGAUUAUAUAAGUCACCUCCUUGAACAAACCGUAAACAACCCAAAAAGUAUAUAAGUAAGAAAAGAGUGUGUAUGCUUUAUAACACUUCAAUGUACCGAGCAAACGUGUAUCUUUUUUGAUACUGUCGCUACAUUUCUAAUCCUGACCGUUUAACCAUUUUUGGUUGCCUUAUAACGAAGCCAAAAUUGGCUGAAUUAUAACAAAAGUAUCCAUGAAGAAAAAAAGAAGCCGCUUUCGAACAACAAUGAGCUUGCUGCAGGAUUUUGUCUACUCUUGCAUUUAAUUGCUUCAAGAAUCCUGAUGUUGGACUCAAAAUAUAAGACAUGACAAGAAGGUCUUGGCUAUUCCAGCUGUGUUAACUCAGCAGAGACCGUGAAAAGAUCUGCAAGAUUUGUUCGUACAAAUAUCGAGCACUUUUCUCCUACGAAAGCCAUAAGAAAAAUGGCCGAUAUAGCAAUGAACUUGACAAUGUCACCUCUGAUGACUAUUCUGUUAAUUCUUUUUAAUGAAAAACAAAUGAAAACAUUUUUCAGGCUUUCGAAAUUGAAGGUGUAUGUAAAUAAAAUUACAAUGUAUAUUGACAAGUGAUCAUUUGUGAUAAAUGAUCUAGUAUAAUAAUAGGAUAUCGUUAAUUUUGUUUUAUAGUUUGACAAUUGUGUUGUACCCAUUUUACAACAAGCUAUAUUUACAUAUUUGUAAAUAUAUAUGGAAGCCAGCAAGUAUAAUACUAAUAGAAUACAUAUAACGGUAAUUAUGACUAGAUUAGAAAUGCGCCUUUAGUAGUUCAGUAGCAAAAUUCAUUCAAAAAAGACAAUGUGUGGUGAAAUAAAUAAUCAUUGCAUAUAUAAUGUAUAUCAACGUAAGAAUUACUUUUAGGUGUUUGAGUAGCUUUCUUUUUUUUAUUUUUCAAAAAUUUACCCCACAAUGUGAUAGAUUUUUUUUGUAUGCCUCCAACUUAUUUAACAUAUUUUCCUGUCAACGUAUCUCGUGGCACUUCAGUGAACUUGUACACACCAAUACAGUAUACUGCUGUUGUGUAAUACUAUCAUGUUUUACUUACUUUUGAUAUUAUGACCAAAUUCAGUGUUACUGAAAUUUUAAAUUUUUAGAUUGCAUGUAUUCCUCAUUAUAAUCGAAGUUUUCAUUGUUAAUCCUUAUUUUCAAGACGCUACUGCAUUGAAGUAAUGCUUCCAUAAACUGCUAUGUUCUUUUUUUAAUAACUAUCUUCAUGUACAUGGUAUUGCAAUUAACACAUGCUUGCUGACGUAUCAAGAAAUUCUUGUUGCUGAAAGAAGUAUAAGAAAUAUAAAAACUUGAAAUUGAAAUGCA